RNAcentral lists this long non-coding RNA (5117 nucleotides) under Homo sapiens (human). RNAcentral describes it as "HSALNT0065492". The record is from RNAcentral. Lineage: Eukaryota; Metazoa; Chordata; Mammalia; Primates; Hominidae.
CUGAGAUUACAGGCGUGAGCCUGGCCUUAUUUUUUAGAGACAGACUUGCUCUGUUGCCCAGGCUGGAUGAGGUGAUGAGAUCAUAGCUCACUGCAGCCUUGGGCUCAAGUGGUCCUCCUGCCCCUGCCUCUUGAAUAGCUGGGACUGCAGUUCUGCACCACCACAUCCAGCUACGCGCAUGCUUUCUGAUGCCUGGUUCAGCAGACAUGGAGGCUAUGGGGGCUGUCUUGGGGUGAUCAUCGUGAGGAUGGCCUGGAAUAUUUAUGUGCAUGUGUGUAAGCAUGUGUCUCAAGGAGGCUCCAGGCUGCUGACCCCAGAGCCAGCUCUCUCCUUAUGAAAUAACACCUCUUAGAUCCAUAAGACUUUACAAAAAUUUUUAUUCUGUUUACACAGGACCUUGUCUCAUUCAAUCCUUCCAAUUACCAAAAGAAGCAGGCAAGACAAACUGUUACACCCAUUUUAUGGGUUAGAAUGAUUUACUCCAAGAGAGAUGCACUUGCCUAAGACCAUCAGCUGUAGAGCUGGGCUAAUCCCAGUGCAUGACUCUUCCAUGAAUUGUGUGUUAAUUAUUUAUUUAUUGAGAGAGGGUCUUGCUCUGUCCCCCAGGCUGUAGUACAGUGGCAUGAUCACAGCUCACUGCAGCCUCAACCACCUGGGCUGAAGUGAUCCUCCCACCUCAGCCCCACAAGUAACUGGGACUACAUGCACACACCACCACAUCUGGCUAAUUUUUGUAUUUUUUUUAGAGACGAGGUUUUGCCAUGUUGCCCAGGCUGGUUUUGAACUCCUGGGCUCAAGUGAUCUGCUCAUCUUGGCCUUCCAAAGUGCUGGGAUUACAGGUGUGAGCCACCGUGCCCAGCCCCAUUUAUUUCACGAACAACUAACUACUCACUGACCACCUAGCAUGUGGCAGCACAGUGUGGCAGUUAAGAGCUGUGCUCCUCGGCCGGCCGCAGUGGCUCAUGCCUGUAAUCCCAGCACUCUGGGAAGCCAAGGCAAGCGGAUCACCUGAGGUCAGGAGUUCGAGAUCAGCCUAGCCAAUAUGGUGAAUCCCUGUCUCUACUAAAAAUACAAAAAUUAGCUGGGUGUGGUGGCACACGCCUGUAGUCCCAGCUACUCGGGGGGCUAAGGAAGGAGAAUCGCUUGAACCCAGGAGGUGGAGGUUGCAGUGAGCCGAGAUCUCACCAUUGCACUCCAGCCUGGGCAACACAGUGAGACUCUGUCUUGAGAAAAAAAAAAAAAAAAAAAAAGUCGGCCGGGCGCAGUGGUUCACGCCUGUAAUCCCAGCACUUUGGGAGGCCGAGGUGGGUGGAUCACGAGGUCAGGAGAUCGAGACAAUCCUGGCUAACACGAUGAAACCUCAUCUCUACUAAAAAUACAAAAAAUUAGCCAGGCGUGGUGGUGGGCGCCUGUAGUCCCAGCUACUUGGGAGGCUGAGGCAGGAGAAUGGCAUGAACCCGUGAGGCAGAGCUUGCAGUGAGCAGAGAUCGCGCCACUGCACUCCAGCCUGGGCAACAAAGCGAGACUCCGUCUCAAAAAAAAAAAAAAAAACAUACACAUACACACACAAAAAGUCAGCUGGGGGUGGUGGCACACGCCUGUAAUCCCAACUACUGGGGAGGGUGAGGCAGGAGAAUCCCUUGAACCUGGGAGGUGGAGGUUGCAGUGAGCCAAGAUUGAGCUACUGCACCUCCAGCCUAGGCAACAGCGAGACUCUGUCUCUCUCUCCUACACACACACACACACACACACACACACACACACACACACACAAACACAAAGAAAAAAGAAAAAAAGAAAAACAAAAGAGCUGUGCUCCAGAGUCAGACUGUCCUUGAGUCCCAGCCCUGCCAUCCAGUAUGUCAAUUCCCUGUAUUUCCUCAUGCACAAAACAAGGGUAUAAUUAUCCCAGCAAAUAUGAACUGCUACAAUUUUAAAGUUCCUUAGCAUUGUCUUGAAACAAGGGGAAGUUAAAACAAAACAAAAAAAAAGUCCCUGGCCGAGCAUGGUGGCUCACACUGGUAUUUCCAGCACCAUGGGAGGACAAGGCAAGCGGAUCACUCGAGGCUAGGAUUUCAAGACCAGCCUAGGCAACAUAGCGAGAACCUGUCUCUACAAAAAAAUUUAAAAAUUAGCAGGGCGUGAUGGUGCGUGCCUGUGGUCCCAGCUACUGGAGAGUCUGAGGCUGCAGUGAGCUAGAAUUUUGCCACCACACUCCAGCCAGAGCCACAGAGUCAGAUCCUGUCUCAAAAGAAAAAGGCUCUUUUAAGGUUGGGCGCGGUGGCUGACACCUGUAAUCCCAGCACUUUGGGAGGCCAAGGCGGGCAGAUCACCUGAGGUCAGGAGUUUGAGACCAGCCUGGCCAACAUGGUGAAACUCUGUCUCUACUAAAAAUACAAAAAUUAGCCAGGCGUGGUGGCAGGUGCCUGUAAUCCCAGCUACUCAGGAGGUUGAGGUGGGAGAAUCUCUUGAACCUGGGAGACAGAGGUUGCAGUGAACUGAGAUCGCGCCACUGCACUCCACUCUGGGUGACAGAGUGAGACUCCGUCUCAAAAAACAAACAAAAAAAGUCCUCUCCCAAGGCCAUGCUCCUGGUGGCAGCUGGCACCCAAAGGCUGAGCACUUGAGCAGAAUGGAAGCCUGACCACCUGCCCUGACUUAGAACAACUCUGCCGGGCUAAGCUGGCGGAGGCGCACACUGGGCUUGCAUUGCUGCUCAACCUCUCCCUCUGCUCCAGUCUGUCACCUGGGCCUGCUUUCCUGGGUGUUGAUCCCAGGAGCAACCACAAUAAAUGCCCUGCAUGUUGGCCUCUCCAAGCCGCUUCCCAAGGAACCCAACCUGUGACAGGCACAGCAGAUGCAGAGAUGACUAAGCCACAGUCUGGCCUUCAAGAAUGUCAAGGCCAAGUGGGAACUGCGAUCUCAUGCAGCUCGCUGGGGUUAGCACAAAGUGCAAUGAAGCCUGGUUGGAGGGGCUGGAAUUGAGGGAGUCCAGGCCCUACUGGGGACCAGCCAGGUUGCCCACGAAGGUGUUGGUGAGUGUGCCUGUCAGGGCCGAACAGUCCCACUGACUGGGAACUCUCAGAAGACAGCCUGAGCUAGUCACUUUCCUUCCUUUGAGCCCAAACUGAUCUAUCUCUGGAGUCACUGAUUGAAAUAUCACUUCUUUUCCCAUAUGAUAGUCCUUCAAAUCAGAUGGUCACACAAGAGUCACUUUUUUGAGUGCUGAUACAUUGUUCUUGUCAGCAAAUCCUCAUAACAAUCCUAUAAAGAAACCAAGAAGGUGCUCAGAAAGGUUGAGGAAUUUGCUGUGGCUACCUUCUGCUACCAGCUGUGGUUAUUUCUGCUACCAGCAACAGAGCUGAGAUCUGAUAUUCGACUCCAACUCCAGUGCUCUUGAAGCACAAAAGCAGAUUUGGCAUCACAGAACCCUCCAGAUGCAUUCCCAAGGACUCUAAGGAGUUGAGAGAACUCCUCUAGGGUUCACUAUUGGUGAGGGGCUCAGAGGCUGGAAGCCUGGCAAGUAGGCAGGCAUGAUCCUAUAACGGAUGGCUCCCUGAUACACCCACCUGCAGGUCUGAAGUUGGAAGAGAAUUAUGAGGGCUGUGAGCAAGCUCUCUGGAGUGCUGAGCUAAGGGUGCCCAUGGCCACAGACAUGGGAGGAAGGAUGCCAAGGAGGCAGGCACAUUAGUCGUCCUUCUGCCAGCUUCACCAGUCCACAGAGCCUUGCUGUCUUUAUCUUCUUUAACCCCCGAAACAGGGCUCUCUCCCCGGCGACCCAUACCAUGCUACCCUCAGCAGCUCAGAGUUAAGAUUCUUUGGUCAAGCUUUUUUUUUUUUUUUCUUGAGAAGAAGUCUCGCUCUGUCGCCCAGGCUGAGUGCAAUGGCACGAUCUCAGCUUACUGCAACUUCCGCCUCCCAGGUUCAAGCUAUUCUCCUGCCUCAGCCUCUUGAGUAGCUGGGACUACAGGCAUGUGCCACCACACCUGGCUAAUUUUUGUAUUUUUAGUAGAGACGGGGCCUCCCUAUGUUGGCCUGGCUGGUCUUGAACUCCUGACCUCAGGUGACCUGCCCACCUUGGCCUCCUAAAGUGCUGGGAUUACAGGCGUGAGCCACUGCUCCUGGCCUGGUCGAGCUUUUUGACUACAAUCUGCAUGAAGGCGGCAAGUUCUUUCUGCUGACUUUGUUGUCACUGAGAGCAACGCAAUAUGUCUGUUUUAUUUUUUUCUUUUGAGAGAAGUGGUCUUGCUAAGUUUCCCAGGCUGGCCGCAAACCCCUGGGCUCAAGCAAUCCUCCCACCUUGGCCUCCCCAACAGCUGGGACUACAGGUGCGUACCACUGUGCUCAGCUCAAAUGUCUCUAUUUUAACGUCCUCUGCAUAACAAUGACAUAUAACAGCUAACUCCUCAAGAAAUAAUAUUUAUAAAUGAUACUACCUGUGUUCAACAUCUCUCCCCUCUUAAAGAUUGCUUCAUUUGAAAAGAAAGUGUUCUAUGCCUUCCUGUUAGACCCUGUCCUAAAUUCCCUAUUUCCCAGGCCCCUCCUAUAUGGUUAGAGGAAAUAUAAAGAACAUGCAAUCACCCAAGCAAAGUGAGGACAAAGAUGGUUUCUCUUCAGUGCUGAGUCUAGAGAGCAGAGAAGCAGGGCAAGCCGGAGCCAGAUAUGACUGGAGAAAGCAGCUGGCCACGUGUGAGGCCAGGUUACACAAUCAGUUCAACUGCCCAUCAGUGGGGGCUGUGACGACAGAACCCAAGACCCCUUCAGCUGAGGCUGAGCCCAGGCUAGGGCUAACAGCACCGCAAUGAUGCCAAUACACUGCCCUUCAUUCCACUGGCUCAGCCCACCCCAAGGUCAGGCAGGCAGAUGACCUCCAUGCCCCAGUAGCUUGACAAUGUCUCUUCUAGAGGCAAGGCUGGUGCUGCUAUUGCUUCCUACACGUGAGGGAUACAAGUGCCAUAGGAAAACGCCAAUCCGAGAGUCCACAGCCCUCAGUAGGAGGCAACCACUGCCCAGGGAGCAGCAGACAUGAGGCAAAGGAGACGCGGGGAGAGAUUUAAUUUACAUAGCAGCCACUUGGGGUCCAGUCAGAGCUGGGGCAGUGGGGGAAUCUAUAACCC